AGUGGGGAAUCUUAGACAAUGGGGGCAACCCUGAUCUAGCCAUGCCGCGUGAGUGAUGAAGGCCUUAGGGUUGUAAAGCUCUUUCAGCUGGGAAGAUAAUGACGGUACCAGCAGAAGAAGCCCCGGCUAACUCCGUGCCAGCAGCCGCGGUAAUACGGAGGGGGCUAGCGUUGUUCGGAAUUACUGGGCGUAAAGCGCACGUAGGCGGACCGGAAAGUUGGGGGUGAAAUCCCGGGGCUCAACCUCGGAACUGCCUUCAAAACUACUGGUCUUGAGUUCGAGAGAGGUGAGUGGAAUUCCGAGUGUAGAGGUGAAAUUCGUAGAUAUUCGGAGGAACACCAGUGGCGAAGGCGGCUCACUGGCUCGAUACUGACGCUGAGGUGCGAAAGCGUGGGGAGCAAA
Molecule: ribosomal RNA, 402 nt
Filed under: uncultured Paracoccus sp.
Lineage: Bacteria; Pseudomonadati; Pseudomonadota; Alphaproteobacteria; Rhodobacterales; Paracoccaceae
Description: bacterial SSU rRNA
Rfam family: Bacterial small subunit ribosomal RNA
Source: RNAcentral